GAUGAACGCUGGCGGCGUGCCUAACACAUGCAAGUCGAACGGAGAUUCCGGGCGGAAGUUUUCGGCUGGAGGACUGUAAUUCUUAGUGGCGGACGGGUGAGUAACCCUUGGGCUACCUGCCCUAUCCAGGGAGUUAGCCGCUUACCGCGUCUGGUCACCCCGCAUAAGUCGGCGGGACCGCAUGGUUUUGCCGGGGAAUUAGCAUUCCGGGAUAGGAUGGGGCCGCGUCCGAUUAGCCAGUUGGCAGGGUAAAAGCCUAGCAAAGCAAGGAUCGGUAGCCGGACGGAUAGGGGGGACGGUCACAAUGGGACUGAGACACGGACCAAUAUGCUACGGGAGGGAGCAGUGGGGGAUAUUGCACAAGGGAGGAAAAUGCGACGCAGCGACGCCGGGUGAGUGAAGAAGUAGUUCGGUAUGUAAAGCUGUAUCAGCAGGGAAGAGGAUGACGGUACCGGACUAAGAAGCCCCGGCUAACUACGUG
This 481-nucleotide ribosomal RNA is filed under the name uncultured bacterium. Its description in RNAcentral is "partial 16S ribosomal RNA". It matches the Rfam family "Bacterial small subunit ribosomal RNA", at positions 28 to 507 of the family's 1533-position model. The record is from RNAcentral.